This 609-nucleotide long non-coding RNA is filed under the name Felis catus (domestic cat). Its description in RNAcentral is "lncRNA (ENSFCAG00000044909.2)". Lineage: Eukaryota; Metazoa; Chordata; Mammalia; Carnivora; Felidae. The record is from RNAcentral.
GGAAGGACUUCAUCCUGAUUGGUUAGAAGGCAACUCAGGUAGCUCAUUGGUGUUUUUGGAGGAGGAGUCCUCCAUUUUAAGUCGGGCUUGCAGACAGGGUGCCUUCUGGCAGGUUCUGCUUUGGAAGAGAAGUGGUUAACAAUAGCUUCCGACAAAAAGACCCCUGGUGCACAGUGGUUUGUUUUUGUUUUUGUUUUUGUUUUGUUUUGCGUGGGGCUUGUUCCCGUAGUCCCUGGCUCAAUUUCUGCACUAUAUCUCCUUUUUGGGGAGUGGGGUGGGGCCUCAGGGCCUGAGGGGUCCAGAAGAAGAAAGGAAGCAGAGAGGAUCCUGGAGAUUUUCUGCGAGACAGCUGGAGGAAAUCCUGUGUACUCUGCAUUCAACGUGAUUCCCAAACAAAGUGGAUCUGAACUGAUGCCUUUCUGGGGGAAGAGCCUAUUUUCCAUCUGGGAAAGUGCCUCUUUGUGUGGUGUGAGGAAACAGCAGUCCAUAGUACCUCAGGCAGCUUGUGAGGACCAGGCUUCUUACCAGAUCAAGUUUUCACUCCACAGACCUGCCUUUCUCUCAAGGAACCCCUCCAGAGUGGAGCCCCACCCUUCCCAGCUUGCGUGA